RNAcentral lists this ribosomal RNA (417 nucleotides) under Acanthamoeba sp. RAC043. Its description in RNAcentral is "SSU rRNA". It matches the Rfam family "Eukaryotic small subunit ribosomal RNA", at positions 762 to 1101 of the family's 1831-position model. Lineage: Eukaryota; Discosea; Longamoebia; Acanthamoebidae. The record is from RNAcentral.
AAAAUUAGAGUGGUCAAAGCAGGCAGAUCCAAUUUUCUGCCACCGAAUACAUUAGCAUGGGAUAAUGGAAUAGGACCCUGUCCUCCUAUUUUCAGUUGGUUUGCCGCGAGGACCAGGGUAAUGAUUAAUAGGGAUAGUUGGGGGCAUUAAUAUUUAAUUGUCAGAGGUGAAAUUCUUGGAUUUAUGAAAGAUUAACUUCUGCGAAAGCAUCUGCCAAGGAUGUUUUCAUUAAUCAAGAACGAAAGUUAGGGGAUCGAAGACGAUCAGAUACCGUCGUAGUCUUAACCAUAAACGAUGCCGACCAGCGAUUAGGAGACGUUGAAUACAAAACACCACCAUGCGCAUUGCGGUCGUCUUUGGUGUGUCGCUCACAAGGCGGCAUCAUCGGGACGGCUUAGCUCGCAUGGCACCGGUGAA